AGAGUUUGAUCAUGGCUCAGGACGAACGCUGGCGGCGUGCUUAACACAUGCAAGUCGAACGGAAAGGCCCUUUCGGAGAUGCUCGAGUGGCGAACGGGUGAGUAACACGUGGGUGAUCUGCCCUGCACUUCGGGAUAAGCUUGGGAAACUGGGUCUAAUACCGGAUAGGACCACAUGCUGCAUGGUGUGUGGUGGAAAGUUUGUAAUGGUGUGGGAUGGGCCCGCGGCCUAUCAGCUUGUUGGUGGGGUGAUGGCCUACCAAGGCGACGACGGGUAGCCGGCCUGAGAGGGUGUCCGGCCACACUGGGACUGAGAUACGGCCCAGACUCCUACGGGAGGCAGCAGUGGGGAAUAUUGCACAAUGGGCGCAAGCCUGAUGCAGCGACGCCGCGUGGGGGAUGACGGCCUUCGGGUUGUAAACCUCUUUCACCAUCGACGAAGGCCUGCUUUUGGGUGGGUUGACGGUAGGUGGAGAAGAAGCACCGGCCAACUACGUGCCAGCAGCCGCGGUAAUACGUAGGGUGCGAGCGUUGUCCGGAAUUACUGGGCGUAAAGAGCUCGUAGGUGGUUUGUCGCGUUGUUCGUGAAAUUCCCUGGCUUAACUGGGGGCGUGCGGGCGAUACGGGCAGACUGGAGUACUGCAGGGGAGACUGGAAUUCCUGGUGUAGCGGUGGAAUGCGCAGAUAUCAGGAGGAACACCGGUGGCGAAGGCGGGUCUCUGGGCAGUAACUGACGCUGAGGAGCGAAAGCGUGGGGAGCGAACAGGAUUAGAUACCCCGGUAGUCC
This 786-nucleotide ribosomal RNA is filed under the name uncultured bacterium. RNAcentral describes it as "bacterial SSU rRNA". It matches the Rfam family "Bacterial small subunit ribosomal RNA", at positions 8 to 796 of the family's 1533-position model. The record is from RNAcentral.